Molecule: ribosomal RNA, 497 nt
Filed under: uncultured bacterium
Lineage: Bacteria
Description: partial 16S ribosomal RNA
Rfam family: Bacterial small subunit ribosomal RNA
Source: RNAcentral
GUUGAACGCUGGCGGCGUGCCUAAUACAUGCAAGUCGAGCGAACAGACGAGGAGCUUGCUCCUCUGACGUUAGCGGCGGACGGGUGAGUAACACGUGGAUAACCUACCUAUAAGACUGGGAUAACUUCGGGAAACCGGAGCUAAUACCGGAUAAUAUAUUGAACCGCAUGGUUCAAUAGUGAAAGCCGGUUUUGCUGUCACUUAUAGAUGGAUCCGCGCCGCAUUAGCUAGUUGGUAAGGUAACGGCUUACCAAGGCAACGAUGCGUAGCCGACCUGAGAGGGUGAUCGGCCACACUGGAACUGAGACACGGUCCAGACUCCUACGGGAGGCAGCAGUAGGGAAUCUUCCGCAAUGGGCGAAAGCCUGACGGAGCAACGCCGCGUGAGUGAUGAAGGUCUUCGGAUCGUAAAACUCUGUUAUUAGGGAAGAACAAAUGUGUAAGUAACUAUGCACGUCUUGACGGUACCUAAUCAGAAAGCCACGGCUAACUACGUG